GACGAACGCUGGCGGCGCGCUUAACACAUGCAAGUCGAGCGAAGCUGCGGACGGGUGAGUAACCCGUGAGUAACCUGCCUUAGACAUUGGGAUAGACUCGGGCAACCGGGAUUAAUACCAACUGGUCUAAGAUAGACUCGCGUCCCAUUAGCUCGUUGAUGAGGUAACGGCCCACCAAGACGACGAUGGGUAGGCGGCCGGAGAGGUGGAGCGGCAACAUUGGAACGGAGAAACGGUCCAAACUCUACGGGAGGCAGCGGUGGGGAAUAGUGAACAAGGGAGGGAACUCUGAUGCAGCGACGCGGGGUGAACGAAGAAGUCUGGCUAGUCGUAAAGUUCUUUUAUGUGGGAAGCGGUACCAUAAGAAUAAGCCACGGCUAACUACGUGCCAGCAGCCGCGGUAAUUC
RNAcentral lists this ribosomal RNA (407 nucleotides) under uncultured bacterium. Its description in RNAcentral is "partial 16S ribosomal RNA". It matches the Rfam family "Bacterial small subunit ribosomal RNA", at positions 28 to 526 of the family's 1533-position model. The record is from RNAcentral.